RNAcentral lists this ribosomal RNA (869 nucleotides) under uncultured Acidobacteriota bacterium. RNAcentral describes it as "bacterial SSU rRNA". It matches the Rfam family "Bacterial small subunit ribosomal RNA", at positions 1 to 902 of the family's 1533-position model. Lineage: Bacteria; Pseudomonadati; Acidobacteriota. The record is from RNAcentral.
AUGCAUGCUCGAGCGGCCGCCAGUGUGAAAUCAACGCUGGCGGCGCGCCUAACACAUGCAAGUCGAGCGAGAAAGUGGAGCAAUCCAUGAGUAAAGCGGCGCACGGGUGAGUAACACGUGGAUGAUCUACCUUCUGGUGGGGAAUAACCUGGGGAAACCUGGGCUAAUACCGCAUAAGUCCGAGAGGAGAAAGCAGCAAUGCGCUGGAAGAGGAGCCCGCGGCCGAUUAGCUAGUUGGUAGGGUAACGGCCUACCAAGGCUAUGAUCGGUAGCCGGCCUGAGAGGGCACACGGCCACACUGGCACUGAAACACGGGCCAGACUCCUACGGGAGGCAGCAGUGGGGAAUCUUGCACAAUGGGGGAAACCCUGAUGCAGCGACGCCGCGUGAGCGAUGAAGCCCUUCGGGGUGUAAAGCUCUUUCGGCAGGAACGAUAAUGACGGUACCUGCAGAAGAAGCUGCGGCUAACUACGUGCCAGCAGCCGCGGUAAUACGUAGGCAGCAAGCGUUGUUCGGAAUUACUGGGCGUAAAGAGUGUGUAGGCGGUUGUCUAAGUUUGGUGUGAAAUCUCCCGGCUCAACUGGGAGGGUGCGCCGAAAACUGGACGGCUGGAGUAUGGGAGAGGAAAGCGGAAUUCCUGGUGUAGCGGUGAAAUGCGUAGAUAUCAGGAGGAACGCCUGCGGUGUAGACGGCUUCCUGGACCAUGACUGACACUGAGGCACGAAAGCGUGGGUAGCAAACAGGGUUAGAUACCCUGGUAGUCCACGCCCUAAACGAUGCGAACUUGGUGUGCGCCCUUCAUUGGGUGCGUGCCGAAGCUAACGCGAUAAGUUCGCCGCCUGGGGAGUACGGUCGCAAGGCUGAAACUC